Molecule: non-coding RNA, 497 nt
Organism: Peromyscus maniculatus bairdii (prairie deer mouse)
Lineage: Eukaryota; Metazoa; Chordata; Mammalia; Rodentia; Cricetidae
Source: RefSeq, a predicted model, not a curated record
GCUUACGGACAAUAGUUCUCAGACAGGUUUAUGACAUGUGAUUGUACUCACGGAAACUGUAGAAUCUAGUGUCUGGGCAUAUCACUGAGUUGGUCAUUAUGGCCACCAUCUCCUGAGCGCCCCUCCAAGACCCUGUCCUCUACCAAUUGCUAGUCUCACCCUUCAUACACCCCAGAGUCAACAAGAACUAUUUUCUGAAUUCAGAUAAAGUGUUUUCAUCUCUGUUCUAAGGAUGAGACAAAUGUGGUAAAAUGUUUAUAAUGAAGGCACAGAGGUUCUACAAGUUUCCAUGGACCACCACGUUGAAAGGACACAGCAACCCUGGCCCAGUGAAGUUGAGAAGGAGGACAGCCAUGGGAAGAGGAGGAGACGAGAGAAGAAUCCUGCGAUCCACAGGAGUUUACUAUGAACAAAAUACUAGUGCCUGAACAAAUGAGUGUAGACUGAAUGCUGUGUCCUACUGUGCAAGGGUUGUACGGACUCUCAGACUCACAGAG